UGAUGAUAUAGGUCUUCAAAGUCAUAUGUUGCCGUGCUAGCACGAAGCAACAUAUGACCUUGAAGACCGAACAAGCAUGAGGAAAAAAGCCGGACGAACAAAGUGAGAAUGGCGAUUUCCGAAUGCUUGCAGGAUUGCGAGAACGAAGAGGAGCAAUCCGAGAUCAUCA
This 169-nucleotide small RNA is filed under the name Butyrivibrio sp. INlla14. RNAcentral's name for it is "Clostridiales-1 RNA". It matches the Rfam family "Clostridiales-1 RNA". Lineage: Bacteria; Bacillati; Bacillota; Clostridia; Lachnospirales; Lachnospiraceae. The record is from Rfam by way of RNAcentral.